Molecule: non-coding RNA, 457 nt
Organism: Hydra vulgaris (swiftwater hydra)
Lineage: Eukaryota; Metazoa; Cnidaria; Hydrozoa; Anthoathecata; Hydridae
Source: RefSeq, a predicted model, not a curated record
AUUUUAAUUGUUUUAUAUGAAUAAAAAAACUAUUAUUGUUUUAUAUUAACGGUGAAGUAUUAAAUCAAAUAAACUAUUUUAUUUUUAUUUCAGAAUAAGUUGUAUUUUGAAUCUGGUUAUGGUAUUAUUACUGCCUAGAUUUAUAUUGUAAUCUGUUUACACUUAUUCUACUUUUUUGUUUUUACAUAAUUUUGUUUAUAUUUAUUUUACUAAAUAAUUACUAAUAGAUAAAGAAGUAUGUGCAGGAUUUAAUUUCACGACUAAAGAGGACUCCGAAGAAGAAUUAAAGUUCUGGUAGAUCAAAGAUCGAGGAAUGAUUUGGUUUUAACUGGUUUGCAACUUAUGAACGAAGUGCAUAAUAUAAUUUAAAUUGAUGAUUUAUAGUUACACCUGUUGAAAUUCUGUAUCUCAAUGAUAUCCUGGCUUAUCGAUACGAUAUCCUGUAAAUCCACUCACA